UACGAAGGGGGCUAGCGUUGUUCGGAAUCACUGGGCGUAAAGGGCGCGUAGGCGGCUUUAUAAGUCGGACGUGAAAUCCCCAGGCUCAGCCUGGGAACUGCGUCCGAUACUGGAUGGCUUGAAUCCGGGAGAGGGAUGCAGAAUUCCAGGUGUAGCGGUGAAAUGCGUAGAUAUCUGGAGGAAUACCGGUGGCGAAGGCGGCAUCCUGGACCGGCAUUGACGCUGAGGAGCGAAAGCCAGGGGAGCAAACGGG
This 253-nucleotide ribosomal RNA is filed under the name uncultured bacterium. Its description in RNAcentral is "partial 16S ribosomal RNA". It matches the Rfam family "Bacterial small subunit ribosomal RNA", at positions 524 to 776 of the family's 1533-position model. The record is from RNAcentral.